This 297-nucleotide unclassified non-coding RNA is filed under the name Ambisporaceae sp. RNAcentral's name for it is "partial contains 5.8S ribosomal RNA and internal transcribed spacer 2". The stretch from base 1 to 71 matches the Rfam family "5.8S ribosomal RNA", at positions 84 to 154 of the family's 154-position model. Lineage: Eukaryota; Fungi; Glomeromycota; Glomeromycetes; Archaeosporales; Ambisporaceae. The record is from RNAcentral.
GUGAAUCAUCGAAUCUUUGAACGCAUAUUGCACUCUCUGCUAUUCCGGAGCGUAUGCCUAUUUGAGUGUCAUUUUACAUAAUAUAAAUUCCAAUAUUUCUCGGAAUUUAAACUUGGUUGUCCCUUUUUUGUGGUCGCCUCAAAUCCACGACAGGCUCCUUUUCUUGUGUUGCAUGAUACUUUCAGUUACCUCGUGACUUAACCAUUCCUCAUCGGGCGUGUUAUGAAUUUUGCAAGAGAUAAAAAAUUCCAUAGAUUUAUCUCAUGCUCAAUAUAAAUCGAAUCAUGACCUCACAUU